Dermochelys coriacea (leatherback sea turtle) is the source of this 181-nucleotide long non-coding RNA. RefSeq lists it as uncharacterized. The transcript has 3 exons. The record is from RefSeq and is a predicted model, not a curated record. Lineage: Eukaryota; Metazoa; Chordata; Testudines; Dermochelyidae.
CUACAGGGUUAGGUCAAAUUUAGCUGUGUUAGGGCAAUUUUAUAAUUAAUGCAUCUACACAAGCAACCCUGUUCAGUCGACCUAAAGGGCCCUUAAAAUCGACUUCUGUACUCUUCCCCGGUAAGGGGAGUAGCACUAAAAUCGACCUUGCUGGGUUGAAUUUGGGGCAAUGUGAUGGUUU